RNAcentral lists this ribosomal RNA (459 nucleotides) under uncultured bacterium. RNAcentral describes it as "partial 16S ribosomal RNA". It matches the Rfam family "Bacterial small subunit ribosomal RNA", at positions 338 to 795 of the family's 1533-position model. The record is from RNAcentral.
CCUACGGGUGGCAGCAGUGAGGAAUAUUGGUCAAUGGGCGGGAGCCUGAACCAGCCAAGUCGCGUGAAGGAAGAAGGUACUUAGUAUUGUAAACUUCUUUUGUCGGGGAACAAAGGCGGAGACGCGUCUCCGGAUGUGUGUGUCCGAUGAAAAAGCAUCGGCUAACUCGGUGCCAGCAGCCGCGGUAAUAGGGAGGAUGCGAGCGUUAUCCGGGUUUAUUGGGUUUAAAGGGUGCGCGGGCGGGAGAUAAAGUCAGCGGUAAAAUGUCGGGGCUCACCCCCGAACGGUCGUUGAAACUGGUUUUCGAGAGUUGGAUAGAGGUAUGCGGAAUUCGUGGUGUAGCGGUGAAAUGCAUAGAUAUCACGAAGAACUCCGAUUGCGAAGGCAGGUUACCGGCUCGAUACUGACGCUGAGGCACGAAAGCGUGGGGAUCGAACAGGAUUAGAUACCCUAGUAGUC